Molecule: transfer RNA, 68 nt
Filed under: Inegocia japonica (rusty flathead)
Lineage: Eukaryota; Metazoa; Chordata; Actinopteri; Perciformes; Platycephalidae
Description: tRNA-Phe
Rfam family: tRNA
About the family: Transfer RNA (tRNA) molecules are approximately 80 nucleotides in length. Their secondary structure includes four short double-helical elements and three loops (D, anti-codon, and T loops). Further hydrogen bonds mediate the characteristic L-shaped molecular structure. tRNAs have two regions of fundamental functional importance: the anti-codon, which is responsible for specific mRNA codon recognition, and the 3' end, to which the tRNAs corresponding amino acid is attached (by aminoacyl-tRNA synthetases). tRNAs cope with the degeneracy of the genetic code in two manners: having more than one tRNA (with a specific anti-codon) for a particular amino acid; and 'wobble' base-pairing, i.e. permitting non-standard base-pairing at the 3rd anti-codon position.
Source: RNAcentral
GCAAGCGUAGCUUAACUAAAGCAUAGCACUGAAGCUGCUAAGAUGGGCCCUAAAAAGCCCCGCAAGCA